This 533-nucleotide unclassified non-coding RNA is filed under the name Hevea brasiliensis (rubber tree). Lineage: Eukaryota; Viridiplantae; Streptophyta; Magnoliopsida; Malpighiales; Euphorbiaceae. The record is from RNAcentral.
GAAGCUAAAUCCUCAAACAGGUACACCAAGGAAAGAUUUUCUUUCAUAAUAAAGGAAGUUAAAUGGUUAAAAUACUUACAUAAGAUAGUUAACACUAAUAAUAGAUAUGGUACUCAUGGUAAAACUUUCAAUAGCUGCACUUCAAAUAUUAGAGGCUCCUUCAUGUGAGACAUAAGGCUACGCCUUGGUCCAAACUCUUCAGGUACUGGUUUUAGGUUUUCACUGAUGUAUCCAACGGAAGGUGGUAUCAAUGCUCUUCGUUUUCCUCCGGGCUUCAUUCCAAUAAGGACUUCCUUCAGACCUUCUAUUAUCUUCAGAAUUUCUAUUUUAAGCCCAAAGCUAGCAAAUACCAUGACCUGUUUAUCAUCCAGAGGAAGUAUGACAGGGGCACUCUCUCCGCUGAACUGGUCCACGGUACUGUGGACAAAAUAUCCAUUUGAUCGUCGGCAUACAUAAUUAAUUUCAACGAUAUCCCCUUCACGAGCCUCUGGUCCUUCCCCUUCAACAACAUCUUGUAGCCUCACUCCACUAUC